This 494-nucleotide ribosomal RNA is filed under the name uncultured bacterium. RNAcentral's name for it is "partial 16S ribosomal RNA". It matches the Rfam family "Bacterial small subunit ribosomal RNA", at positions 28 to 507 of the family's 1533-position model. The record is from RNAcentral.
GACGAACGCUGGCGGCGUGCUUAACACAUGCAAGUCGAACGGAAAGGCCUGCUUUCCCUUGUGGAUUGCGGGUACUCGAGUGGCGAACGGGUGAGUAACACGUGAGUGAUCUGCCCCCAACUUGGGUAUAAGCCUGGGAAACUGGGUCUAAUUCCCGAUAGGACUGCAGGGUGGUGCCUGUGGUGGAAAACGAUUUUCUAGUGGUUGGGGAUGAGCUCGCGGCCUAUCAGCUUGUUGGUGGGGUAAUGGCCUACCAAGGCGGCGACGGGUAGCCGGACUGAGAGGGUGGACGGACACAUUGGGACUGAGAUACGGCCCAGACUCCUACGGGAGGCAGCAGUGGGGAAUAUUGCACAAUGGGCGGAAGCCUGAUGCAGCGACGCCGCGUGGGGGAUGACGGCCUUCGGGUUGUAAACUCCUUUCGACCGCGAGGAAGCCACCUGGUUGGAAGGGUGGUGACGGUAGUGGUAGAAGAAGCACCGGCUAACUACGUG